GCGGUUGUGGUGGAACGGCAGACACGCUAUCUUGAGGGGGUAGUGCCCACCGGGCGUAUGGGUUCAAGUCCCAUCAACCGCA
RNAcentral lists this transfer RNA (82 nucleotides) under Paenibacillus sp. BK033. RNAcentral describes it as "tRNA-Leu". It matches the Rfam family "tRNA". From Rfam's summary of the family: Transfer RNA (tRNA) molecules are approximately 80 nucleotides in length. Their secondary structure includes four short double-helical elements and three loops (D, anti-codon, and T loops). Further hydrogen bonds mediate the characteristic L-shaped molecular structure. tRNAs have two regions of fundamental functional importance: the anti-codon, which is responsible for specific mRNA codon recognition, and the 3' end, to which the tRNAs corresponding amino acid is attached (by aminoacyl-tRNA synthetases). tRNAs cope with the degeneracy of the genetic code in two manners: having more than one tRNA (with a specific anti-codon) for a particular amino acid; and 'wobble' base-pairing, i.e. permitting non-standard base-pairing at the 3rd anti-codon position. Lineage: Bacteria; Bacillati; Bacillota; Bacilli; Caryophanales; Paenibacillaceae. The record is from RNAcentral.